AGAUCAGGCCACCACGAGACAGAGAUGGAGACCAGCAGCCUGUGGCCCCCGAGGCCCAGCCCCAGUGCAGGGCUGAGCCUGGAGGCGCGGCUGGGCGUGGACACUCGCCUCUGGGCCAAGGUGCUGUUCACCGCGCUCUAUUCGCUCAUCUUCGCGCUUGGCACAGCCGGCAAUGCGCUGUCCGUGCACGUGGUGCUGAAGGCGCGGGCGGGUCGCCCCGGGCGCCUGCGCUACCACGUGCUCAGCCUGGCACUGUCAGCCCUGCUGCUACUGCUGAUCAGCGUGCCCAUGGAGCUCUACAACUUCGUGUGGUCCCACUACCCCUGGGUCUUCGGCGAUCUCGGCUGUCGUGGCUAUUACUUCGUGCGUGAGCUGUGCGCCUACGCCACGGUGCUGAGCGUGGCCAGCCUGAGCGCAGAGCGCUGCCUGGCCGUGUGCCAGCCGCUGCGCGCCCGCCGCCUGCUCACCCCGCGCCGCACCCGCCGCCUGCUGUCACUAGUCUGGGUCGCCUCUCUGGGCCUUGCCCUGCCCAUGGCGGUUAUCAUGGGACAGAAGCACGAAAUGGAGAGGGCCGACGGGGAGCCUGAGCCUGCCUCGCGUGUGUGCACGGUGCUAGUAAGUCGCGCCACGCUCCAGGUCUUCAUCCAGGUGAACGUGCUGGUCUCCUUCGUUCUCCCCUUGGCACUCACUGCUUUUCUGAAUGGGAUCACUGUCAACCACCUGGUGGCCCUCUACUCCCAGGUACCAUCAGCUUCUGCCCAAGUCAACUCCAUCCCCAGCCGCCUGGAGCUCCUGAGUGAGGAAGGCCUCCUGGGCUUCAUCACAUGGAGAAAGACCCUCUCCCUGGGGGUCCAAGCCAGCCUGGUGAGACACAAGGAUGCCAGCCAGAUCCGCAGCCUCCAGCACAGCGCCCAGGUUCUCAGUUAAGUCCUCUACCACAAUACCCUGAGGGAGAGGAGCCCAGGACCAGGGAUUGUGUCCAUCAGUUCCUGGCUAGAUGACCUUGGCAAGCUACUGCCCCUCUCUAGGCCCCCUUCUUCCUGUACCUCAAAAGCACAACGGGAUAGUUAAAAGAAAGAACUGGAAUUUUAUGCAUGAAAUUACAGGUCCACACAGGGAGUGGCAUACCCACACAGGAGGGUCUUGGCUCUGUUUCAGAAAGUUGGGCUGUGUGGGAAAGCCAAAAGUAGUUCCAGUGAAGGACUGCAGUCUGCCUAUUGUGGAUUCUCAGACUGGCUGGGUCCCCAUAUCCCAUUUUCCUCUAGCACUCCCCUCUCCUGCUCACAGCAUUCAUCUGUUUGCUUGCUUGCCUUUGUAAGGAUCCAGAACAAUCUGGCCUUGUAAGAAACACUUUUUAAAGGGACAGGAAAACCGGUCUCUCCAAGUGCCCAUCUGCCCUAGUUGAAAUCUGGGCACCAGCUGAAGUCUGGGAGGAUCCAAUGAGGCAGAUCUGUGUUCUUUGAUCCAAUGAGGCAGAUCUGUGAUCUUUGAUCCAAUGAGGCAGAUCUGUGAUCUUUGCAGCAUCCCCAUCUUGUGGGAAAAGAUGUAAGUGCUGAGUGCACUGGAUGUGAUGAGUCACACAUAGUCAGCCCAGGAAGGUGUCAGGCUUCACUUUGUAGUCGCUGAGCAGAACGGUCCAAGAACCAAUGUCUGGAAGAUCUGUUGUCUUCAUAGCUCUUUGGCAUACAGGCCAAAUCGUACUCCUAAACUUCAAGGUCUGUGGCAGUGAUCCAGGACAUUGUAAGGGCCAGAGUGCAGGGCCCAGCCAUGAGAUUCCAACCCAAGAGGCCUUGAGUGGGUUGAUGAAUUUGAAUUCCUACCAGAAUACCAGUUAAUGCUACUGCUGCAGGGAUCACAAAGGGUAAUAGGUGGGUGGUUGCUCAUGUGGGAGAGAGAAGGCUGUCAGAGUCCAGAGGGAAGGAGACAGAAGCUUCAUAAGGUAGCAGCCGUGAGGACAAGGAAGAAACAGAGUGACAGUCACUGAGGAAGAACCCAUUAAAAGACAAGAUGUGGAAGGAGAGAAAGCUAAGAAGACUCUAGCUUGAGGUCUGAUGAUGGAACUACCAUGCAUGCAGAAGGAAAAGGAAGAGUUGAGGCAGAGCCUUUGCAAUGAAUGCACAAAAGGCAUUUAUAUAAUGCUGCAUAUGCAGUCAUCCAGGUAGGAAUAUCUAGUCCUAAGUUGAGAGUUCAUUCCAGUAGCCAGUGGAAGAUUCUGGAAGCCUGUUGUGUCCAAGGACAUGGAAGGUUCGUAUUCAAUAACUUUAAAAUUCUCUUCCCAUCCUUUGGCUCCAGGAAGAUGCCACAGGAAUUGCUGUUGUCACCUUGGGCAUGCUUUUCCCUCAACAAUGAUGUAACUGAGAACAUGUUUGCUUUCUGUCUGCUAUGCCCUCUCUCUCUCUCUCCCACUCUCCUUCAGGAGCCAUCGUGGCUGUGUAUGUCAUCUGCUGGCUGCCGUACCAUGCCCGCAGGCUCAUGUACUGCUACAUCCCCGAUGAUGGAUGGACUGAUGAGCUCUAUGACUUCUAUCACUAUUUCUACAUGGUGACCAACACGCUCUUCUAUGUCAGCUCGGCAGUGACCCCAGUCCUCUACAACGCCGUGUCUUCCUCCUUCAGAAAGCUCUUUCUGGAAUCUCUCAGUUCCCUGUGUGGUGAACAGCGCUCCGUGGUGCCCUUACCCCAAGAAGCCCCAGAGUCAACUACUAGUACGUACAGUUUCCGGCUUUGGGGAUCCCCAAGAAACCCCAGCCUGGGUGAAAUACAAGUGUGAAGAGAACAAACAAUGGCUGCUUGGGACACACCCAUCAGAUAAGCCAUGCCAUUACUAACAGUCUAAGCGGACCUACUGACCCAGCGCAGUCAUUGACCAGUGCAUACUGCAGGCAAGCCACGUAACACCUCCUGCCCUCAACUUCCCACCUGUGCAACCAAGGUGUAGAAUAGGACGAAUUGCCUAGUGAUGAAGGUGCCCAGUGCCAGGCCUGGUACAGAACCAGUACUCAAUAAAUUUUAGCUGGUGCUA
Molecule: RNA transcript, 3021 nt
Organism: Mus musculus (house mouse)
Lineage: Eukaryota; Metazoa; Chordata; Mammalia; Rodentia; Muridae
Gene: Ntsr2
Gene name: neurotensin receptor 2
Exons: 3
Source: RefSeq, marked validated